AUUGAACGCUGGCGGCAGGCCUAACACAUGCAAGUCGAGCGGAUGACGGGAGCUUGCUCCUUGAUUCAGCGGCGGACGGGUGAGUAAUGCCUAGGAAUCUGCCUGGUAGUGGGGGACAACGUUUCGAAGGGAACGCUAAUACCGCAUACGGCCUACGGGAGAAAGCAGGGGACCUUCGGGCCUUGCGCUAUCAGAUGAGCCUAGGUCGGAUUAGCUAGUUGGUGGGGUAAUGGCUCACCAAGGCGACGAUCCGUAACUGGUCUGAGAGGAUGAUCAGUCACACUGGAACUGAGACACGGUCCAGACUCCUACGGGAGGCAGCAGUGGGGAAUAUUGGACAAUGGGCGAAAGCCUGAUCCAGCCAUGCCGCGUGUGUGAAGAAGGUCUUCGGAUUGUAAAGCACUUUAAGUUGGGAGGAAGGGCAGUAAGUUAAUACCUUGCUGUUUUGACGUUACCGACAGAAUAAGCACCGGCUAACUCUGUGCCAGCCGCCGCCGUAA
Molecule: ribosomal RNA, 500 nt
Filed under: uncultured bacterium
Lineage: Bacteria
Description: partial 16S ribosomal RNA
Rfam family: Bacterial small subunit ribosomal RNA
Source: RNAcentral